GAUGAACGCUAGCUACAGGCUUAACACAUGCAAGUCGAGGGGCAGCAUAAAUCUAGCAAUAGAUUUGAUGGCGACCGGCGCACGGGUGAGUAACACGUAUCCAACCUACCUAUUACUCGGGUAUAGCCUUUCGAAAGAAAGGUUAAUCCCCGAUACGAUAUUGAGUUCGCAUGAAUUUAAUAUGAAAGAUUUAUUGGUAUUAGAUGGGGAUGCGUUCCAUUAGAUAGUUGGUGAGGUAACGGCUCACCAAGUCUUCGAUGGAUAGGGGUUCUGAGAGGAAGGUCCCCCACACUGGAACUGAGACACGGUCCAGACUCCUACGGGAGGCAGCAGUGAGGAAUAUUGGUCAAUGGGCGAGAGCCUGAACCAGCCAAGUAGCGUGAGGGACGACUGCCCUAUGGGUUGUAAACCUCUUUUAUAAGGGAAUAAAACGCUCCACGUGUGGAGCUUUGCAUGUACCUUUUGAAUAAGGAUCGGCUAACUCCGUGCCAGCCGCCGCAGUAA
This 504-nucleotide ribosomal RNA is filed under the name uncultured bacterium. RNAcentral describes it as "partial 16S ribosomal RNA". It matches the Rfam family "Bacterial small subunit ribosomal RNA", at positions 28 to 523 of the family's 1533-position model. The record is from RNAcentral.